UACGGAAUGUGCAAACGUUAUUCGGAAUCACUGGGCUUAAAGAGUCCGUAGGCGGCAUGUUAGGUGAGGUGUGAAAUCCCCCGGCUCAACCGAGGAAUUGCGCUCUAAACUGGCGCGCUCGAGGAACCUAGAGGUGAGCAGAACUGAUGGUGGAGCGGUGAAAUGCGUUGAUAUCAUCAGGAAUACCGGAGGCGAAGGCGGCUCACUGGGGGUUAUCUGACGCUGAGGAACGAAAGCCAGGGGAGCAAACGGG
This 253-nucleotide ribosomal RNA is filed under the name uncultured bacterium. Its description in RNAcentral is "partial 16S ribosomal RNA". It matches the Rfam family "Bacterial small subunit ribosomal RNA", at positions 524 to 776 of the family's 1533-position model. The record is from RNAcentral.